ACACAGUUGACGAGUCCCAAAUAGGACGAAAUGCGCGUCCUAGAU
This 45-nucleotide non-coding RNA is filed under the name Schistosoma margrebowiei. The record is from RNAcentral. Lineage: Eukaryota; Metazoa; Platyhelminthes; Trematoda; Strigeidida; Schistosomatidae.